Molecule: ribosomal RNA, 497 nt
Filed under: uncultured bacterium
Lineage: Bacteria
Description: partial 16S ribosomal RNA
Rfam family: Bacterial small subunit ribosomal RNA
Source: RNAcentral
GAUGAACGCUGGCGGCGUGCCUAAUACAUGCAAGUCGAGCGAACAGACGAGGAGCUUGCUCCUCUGACGUUAGCGGCGGACGGGUGAGUAACACGUGGAUAACCUACCUAUAAGACUGGGAUAACUUCGGGAAACCGGAGCUAAUACCGGAUAAUAUAUUGAACCGCAUGGUUCAAUAGUGAAAGACGGUUUUGCUGUCACUUAUCGAUGGAUCCGCGCCGCAUUAGCUAGUUGGUAAGGUAACGGCUUACCAAGGCAACGAUGCGUAGCCGACCUGAGAGAGUGGUCGGCCACACUGGAGCUGAGACACGGUCCAGACUCCUACGGGAGGCAGCAGUAGGGAAUCUUCCGCAGUGGGCGAAAGCCUGACGGAGCAACGCCGCGUGAGUGAUGAAGGUCUUCGGAUCGUAAAACUCUGUUAUUAGGGAAGAACAAAUGUGUAAGUAACUAUGCACGUCUUGACGGUACCUAAUCAGAAAGCCACGGCUAACUACGUG